GAUUCCCUUAGUAACGGCGAGUGAACUGGGAAGGGCCCAGCGCCAAGUUCUGACACGUGACGUGUUCAGGAGAUGCGGCGUUAGUGCGUUGGCGCAUCGGGCACUGUCUCGUGUCUCAAGUUCCCUUGACAGGGGCUGCCAGAGUGGGUGCUAGUCCCAUAGAGGCUGCGAGGCCGGGUGUGUGCAGGCCAACGUACAUUAGAGUCAGGUUGCUUGAGAGUGCAGCCUAAAGCAGGUGGUAAACUCCAUCUAAGGCUAAAUAUGACAGCGAGACCGAUAGCAAACAAGUACCGUGAGGGAAAGUUGCAAAGAACUUUGAAGAGAGAGUUCAAAAGGACGUGAAACCACUGACAGGCAAACGGGUGGAGCCACGAAGUGUGCCCGGAGGGCGAUUCAGUUGCGGCCAGCUGUUGGCGCGGCGUGCGGUGGCCGUUUGUUUCGGUUUCCCGCGUCGAGUCUGCAAUGGUUGGCGGUAAUGCAUUUUGUCAUUCCGGUGCUAAAGCCACGUCCGAUUAGGUGGCUGGAACGGCCGUAGCGAGUGACUCGAGGAAGGUGACCGUGUGUGCUUGCACUCUGCGGUGUUAUAGCCUCGAGUCGGCGCCGUUGCCUAGCGUGCUGAUCGGUGCAAGUGCUCCGUUUGGAGUAUUGCGAGCAAUGGGCUAGUGAGCUUGUGGCGUGGCGUCGGCGGUGCCAGUGUGGACUUUGUCGCCUUCGGGCGUUCAAAGACGCGGUGGUAUUCGUGGACGCGGCGUGGCUGGCUUGACUGGCUUGUGCAAACUGUGGUGCGAGUAGGUCGGUGUCCACCCGACCCGUCUUGAAACACGGACCAAGGAGCCUAACAUGUGCGCAAGUCGCUCGGUCUUGAAUAGGCCCGGGAGGCGAAAUGAAAGUAAUUGCCACGAAGCUGCGUACGCAGUUGCAGUGGCUGCCCGCCUACUUCAUUAAUUGGUGAUAUGGCGGAGCGGGAGCGCAUACGUUGGUACCCGAAAGAUGGUGAACUAUGCCUGGGCAGGAUGAAGCCAGAGGAAACUCUGGUGGAGGUCUGUAGCGAUUCUGACGUGCAAAUCGAUCGUCAGACCUGGGUAUAGGGGCGAAAGACUAAUCGAACCAUCUAGUAGCUGGUUCCCUCCGAAGUUUCCCCCAGGAUAGCAGGCGCUUGUUUGACGCAGUCUCAUCCGGUAAAGCGAAUGAUUAGAGGUCUUGGGGCCGAAACGGCCUCAACCUAUUCUCAAACUUUAAAUGGGUGAGAUGCCUGACUUGCUUGAUUGAAGCCAGGCAAUUGGAUGUGAGUGCCUAGUGGGCCAGCUUUGGUAAGCAGAACUGGCGCUGUGGGAUGAACCAAACGUCGAGUUAAGGCAUCAAAUGCGUACGCUCAUGAGACCCCAUAAAAGGUGUUGGUUGCUAUAGACAGCAGGACGGUGGCCAUGGAAGUCGGAAUCC
This 1440-nucleotide ribosomal RNA is filed under the name Sennertionyx manicati. Its description in RNAcentral is "eukaryotic LSU rRNA". It matches the Rfam family "Eukaryotic large subunit ribosomal RNA", at positions 73 to 1269 of the family's 3401-position model. The record is from RNAcentral. Lineage: Eukaryota; Metazoa; Arthropoda; Arachnida; Sarcoptiformes; Acaridae.